Molecule: ribosomal RNA, 427 nt
Filed under: uncultured bacterium
Lineage: Bacteria
Description: bacterial SSU rRNA
Rfam family: Bacterial small subunit ribosomal RNA
Source: RNAcentral
UGGGGAAUUUUGGACAAUGGGCGAAAGCCUGAUCCAGCCAUGCCGCGUGAGUGAAGAAGGCCUUCGGGUUGUAAAGCUCUUUUAGUCGGAAAGAAAGAGUUGCAAUGAAUAAUUGUGAUUUAUGACGGUACCGACAGAAAAAGCACCGGCUAACUACGUGCCAGCAGCCGCGGUAAUACGUAGGGUGCGAGCGUUAAUCGGAAUUACUGGGCGUAAAGGGUGCGCAGGCGGUCUUGUAAGACAGAUGUGAAAUCCCCGGGCUUAACCUGGGAACUGCGUUUGUGACUGCAAGGCUGGAGUACGGCAGAGGGGGGUGGAAUUCCACGUGUAGCAGUGAAAUGCGUAGAGAUGUGGAGGAACACCGAUGGCGAAGGCAGCCCCCUGGGCCUGUACUGACGCUCAUGCACGAAAGCGUGGGGAGCAAACA